Molecule: ribosomal RNA, 460 nt
Filed under: uncultured bacterium
Lineage: Bacteria
Description: SSU rRNA
Rfam family: Bacterial small subunit ribosomal RNA
Source: RNAcentral
AGAAUCAACGCUGGCGGCGUGCCUAACACAUGCAAGUCGAACGAGAAAGUGGAGCAAUCCAUGAGUAAAGUGGCGCACGGGUGAGUAACACGUGACUAACCUACCCUUGAGUGGGGAAUAACCUAGGGAAACCUGGGCUAAUACCGCAUAACACCUACGGGUCAAAGGAGCAAUUCGCUUAAGGAGGGGGUCGCGGCAGAUUAGCUAGUUGGCGGGGUAAUGGCCCACCAAGGCAGUGAUCUGUAUCCGGCCUGAGAGGGCGCACGGACACACUGGAACUGAAACACGGUCCAGACUCCUACGGGAGGCAGCAGUGGGGAAUUUUGCGCAAUGGGGGAAACCCUGACGCAGCAACGCCGCGUGGAGGAUGAAGUCCCUUGGGACGUAAACUCCUUUCGACCGGGAAGAUUAUGACGGUACCGGAAGAAGAAGCCCCGGCUAACUUCGCGCCAGCAGCCGC